RNAcentral lists this ribosomal RNA (1443 nucleotides) under Hyphomonas sp. RNAcentral's name for it is "bacterial SSU rRNA". It matches the Rfam family "Bacterial small subunit ribosomal RNA". The record is from RNAcentral. Lineage: Bacteria; Pseudomonadati; Pseudomonadota; Alphaproteobacteria; Hyphomonadales; Hyphomonadaceae.
AGAGUUUGAUUCUGGCUCAGAACGAACGCUGGCGGCAGGCCUAACACAUGCAAGUCGAACGACAUAGUGGCAGACGGGUGAGUAACGCGUGGGAACGUGCCUUUCACUACGGAAUAGCUCUUGGAAACGAGUGGUAAUACCGUAUACGCCCUCCGGGGGAAAGAUUUAUCGGUGAAAGAUCGGCCCGCGUUAGAUUAGCUUGUUGGUGAGGUAAUGGCUCACCAAGGCGACGAUCUAUAGCUGGUCUGAGAGGAUGAUCAGCCACACUGGGACUGAGACACGGCCCAGACUCCUACGGGAGGCAGCAGUGGGGAAUCUUGCACAAUGGGCGAAAGCCUGAUGCAGCCAUGCCGCGUGAAUGAUGAAGGCCCUAGGGUUGUAAAAUUCUUUCGCCAGGGAUGAUAAUGACAGUACCUGGUAAAGAAGCACCGGCUAACUUCGUGCCAGCAGCCGCGGUAAUACGAAGGGUGCUAGCGUUGUUCGGAAUUACUGGGCGUAAAGCGCGCGUAGGCGGACUUUUAAGUCAGAUGUGAAAUCCCGGAGCUCAACUCCGGAACUGCAUUUGAAACUGGAAGUCUAGAGAUCAGGAGAGGUUGGCGGAAUACCGAGUGUAGAGGUGAAAUUCGUAGAUAUUCGGUGGAACACCAGUGGCGAAGGCGGCCAACUGGACUGAUACUGACGCUGAGGUGCGAAAGUGUGGGGAGCAAACAGGAUUAGAUACCCUGGUAGUCCACACCGUAAACGAUGAUUGCUAGUUGUCGGCAGAUUUAUCUGUCGGUGACGCAGCUAACGCAUUAAGCAAUCCGCCUGGGGAGUACGGCCGCAAGGUUAAAACUCAAAGAAAUUGACGGGGGCCCGCACAAGCGGUGGAGCAUGUGGUUUAAUUCGAAGCAACGCGCAGAACCUUACCUACUCUUGACAUCCCGAUCGCGGUUAGUGGAGACACUAUCCUUCAGUUAGGCUGGAUCGGUGACAGGUGCUGCAUGGCUGUCGUCAGCUCGUGUCGUGAGAUGUUGGGUUAAGUCCCGCAACGAGCGCAACCCUCAUCCUUAGUUGCCAUCAGGUUUGGCUGGGCACUCUAAGGAAACUGCCGGUGGCAAGCCGGAGGAAGGUGGGGAUGACGUCAAGUCCUCAUGGCCCUUACGAGUAGGGCUACACACGUGCUACAAUGGCAGUGACAAUGGGAUAAUCCCCAAAAACUGUCUCAGUUCGGAUUGUCGUCUGCAACUCGACGGCAUGAAGGUGGAAUCGCUAGUAAUCGUGGAUCAGCAUGCCACGGUGAAUACGUUCCCGGGCCUUGUACACACCGCCCGUCACAUCAUGGGAAUUGGUUCUACCCGAAGACUGUGUGCUAACUUCGGAGGCAGCAGGCCACGGUAGGAUCAGUGACUGGGAUGAAGUCGUAACAAGGUAGCCGUAGGGGAACCUGCGGCUGGAUCACCU